AACGCGAAGAACCUUACCUACCCUUGACAUCCAGAGAAUCCUGCAGAGAUGCGGGAGUGCCGAAAGGAGCUCUGAGACAGGUGCUGCAUGGCUGUCGUCAGCUCGUGUUGUGAGAUGUUGGGUUAAGUCCCGUAACGAGCGCAACCCUUAUCCUUAGUUGCCAACGCGUAAUGGCGGGGACUCUAAGGAGACUGCUGGUGAUGAACCGGAGGAAGGCGGGGACGACGUCAAGUCAUCAUGGCCUUUAUGGGUAGGGCUACACACGUGCUACAAUGGGGUAUACAGAGGGAAGCCAACCCGCGAGGGGGAGCCAAUCCCAGAAAGUAUCUCGUAGUCCGGAUCGGAGUCUGCAACUCGACUCCGUGAAGUCGGAAUCGCUAGUAAUCGCGAAUCAGAAUGUCGCGGUGAAUACGUUCCCGGGCCUUGUACACACCGGUAUCUC
RNAcentral lists this ribosomal RNA (442 nucleotides) under uncultured bacterium. Its description in RNAcentral is "bacterial SSU rRNA". It matches the Rfam family "Bacterial small subunit ribosomal RNA", at positions 958 to 1400 of the family's 1533-position model. The record is from RNAcentral.